CUCAUCAAUUUCCAAAUUCAUUUACUUGUGUGUUUACUUCGUUCCUCAGAUACUCUCUCCCAACUUCAGUUCCCAAAAUCUUUCUGCAAAACCCUAACUUCCCGGAUUCCUCCGUCAUAACCGCCAUUGCUGCGAAGCUUCACAAUUCAGCGGGAACUCUUCGAUGGACGCUCACUCUUCUCACCUCAACGCCGGAAACCGGUCUCGCCGCUCCCAGACUCCCUCCCCGUCUCACUCCGCCUCGGUCUCGGCCUCCGCCACUUCUUCCCUCCACAAACGCAAGCUCGCCGCGGCAAACGCGGCGGCGUCUGAUGAUCACGCGCCGCCCUCCUCCGCGACUUUCCUUCCCUCUUCCCUCUCAGCUGACACCCGCGACGCCGCCUUGACCUCCAACGACGACCUCGAGAGCAUCUCUGCUCGCGGUAACGACUCCGACUCCGAGUCAGAUCCCGAGGAAUCCGAGGAUGCGGUUGUCGACGAAGAAGAGGACGACUUCGCUCCCGAACAAGAUAAUGACUCGUCGAUCCGCACGUUCACGGCGUCUCGGCUCGAGUCCAGUUCUGGAGCCAGUGGUUCGGCUCGCAAUACUAAACUUAAGACGGAGAAUUCUGCGAUGAAGCUUGAGAGCUCUGAUGGCGGCAGAGAUGGUGGAGCCUCUGCGGUUGGAUCUGGAGCAAUUGGAACCUUUGGCGGGAGCUCGAUUUCUGGGUCGGUGGCGAAGGAUGAAUCUGUGAAGAUAUUAACAGAAAAUUUUCAGACUUGCGGGGCUUAUAUUGCGAGAGAAAAGAGUUUGAAGAGAGAGGAGGAAGCAGGACGACUCAAGUUUGUCUGUUACUCAAAUGAUGGCGUCGAUGAACAUAUGGUUUGUUUGGUGGGGCUGAAGAACAUAUUCGCAAGACAGUUGCCUAAUAUGCCCAAGGAGUACAUUGUUCGUCUUCUGAUGGAUAGGAAACACAAAUCUGUUAUGGUCCUCCAACGAAACCUAGUUGUAGGUGGUAUCACAUAUCGCCCUUAUCACAGCCAAAAAUUUGGAGAAGUAGCUUUUUGUGCAAUCACUGCAGAUGAACAAGUAAAAGGUUAUGGAACGAGGUUGAUGAAUCACUUGAAACAGCAUGCAAGGGAUGUUGAUGGACUAACUCAUUUUCUUACGUAUGCUGACAACAAUGCUGUUGGUUAUUUUAUCAAACAGGGGUUUACCAAGGAGAUUUACUUAGGCAAAGAGAUUUGGCAUGGGUAUAUUAAAGACUAUGAUGGUGGCGUUCUAAUGGAAUGCAAAAUCGAUCCAAAGCUUCCAUAUACAGAUUUAUCAAGUAUGAUUCGUCAGCAAAGACAGGCAAUUGAUGAAAGGAUAAGAGAGUUGUCGAACUGCCAAAUUGUCUAUCCAGGAAUUGAUUUUCAAAAGAAAGAAGCAGGGAUUCCUGGAAAGAUCAUCAAAGUUGAGGAUAUACCUGGUUUGAGGGAAGCAGGUUGGAUUCCAGAUCAGUAUGGGCAUACUCGGUUCAAAAUAUUUAAUACUUCUGACGGCACGACAAACCAAAAGCAGUUGACUGCAUUUAUGCGUUCGCUGUUAAAGCAGUCCUUACAUGACCAUGUUGAUGCUUGGCCAUUCAAAGAGCCAGUUGAUGCUCGUGAUGUCCCUGAUUACUAUGACAUCAUUAAUGAUCCUGUUGAUAUGAAAACCAUGUCAAAGAGGAUUGAGUCGGAGCAGUAUUAUGUAACAUUCGAUAUGUUUGUUGCUGAUGUGAGACGAAUGUUUAACAAUGCUAGAACUUACAACUCCCCGGAUACCAUAUAUUACAAAUGUGCUACCAGAUUGGAAGCCCACUUCCAGAGUAAAGUACAAGCGGGUCUCCAGUCUGGCGCUAAAGCCCAGUUUAAGUUGGGGCAAGACCACGGAUGACAAAAUACCACGAGACUUUAAUAAGGCGUCACAUUUGGAGAGAAUGCCACUGUAGAGAAUCUCCGAAACCACCGAGCUUUAUAGUACAUGUGAUCUGGCCUUUGGUCAUUUCGCCGGGUUGAAGUGUACAAAUAAGUGAGCACUGAUAAUAUCAAACCUUGGAGUGAAACAUAGGUAACAAGAACCCAUUAUUUGUCGCAAGGCCUGGUGGAGGAAACCUUGGAAGGAGACAAUUGGAUUCAGAGAAGAAUCUUUGUAAAAGGAAGUAGCUAAUAGUUUGGGGUUCGUUUGGGCAAAAAAAAAACCCAAUCUUUCCAAUACUCAUUUGUUUGGGCAAAAAACAGGUUGUUGGUUGGUUUUGUGGCAAAGGGUCAUCUAAAAGAAGUGCAAGCCGAUAAAGAAACACUUGGAAGAUCAGGAAAGGAAAGGAGAGGAGCUCGGAUGAAGCAGCUGUUGUGACCAGUUCUCAUAUAAGGAAAUGAUGUAUGAAGAUAAGUCGUGGCAGUCGGAAUCGUUUGUUGAAUACUCCAAGGCGCUCGCGUUAGCUGGACUGGUUUCCGGACCAAGAGCUCCUGUCAUUGCAUAUUUGAACUCGAGAACUCAGAUGGCAGAACUUCCAAACAACAACCAAGUAGCUUGAGAACCGAAUGAAUACCGUACCAAGCAUACUUUGUUGCACCACCAUGCAUACACUCUCUGUUCAGUGAAUGUUUCUUCAUUUGGGUUCUGUUUUUUAUUGGAUAAUUACGAUUGCAACGUUCAUUUUGACUUGAAAAAUCAAAAUGUAUACACAGUCUUUGGCCA
Molecule: RNA transcript, 2704 nt
Organism: Tarenaya hassleriana
Lineage: Eukaryota; Viridiplantae; Streptophyta; Magnoliopsida; Brassicales; Cleomaceae
Gene name: histone acetyltransferase GCN5
Exons: 15
Source: RefSeq, a predicted model, not a curated record